Lethenteron reissneri (Far Eastern brook lamprey) is the source of this 399-nucleotide long non-coding RNA. RefSeq lists it as uncharacterized. NCBI's taxonomy places the organism in Eukaryota, Metazoa, Chordata, Hyperoartia, Petromyzontiformes, Petromyzontidae. The record is from RefSeq and is a predicted model, not a curated record.
GGGGUGGAAGCCAGGAAGACGGCAAAGAGAGCGAGCAGGAAGCGGCGUUCGGGGCUUUGCGGGAGACAGCGAGAACAAAGGCCAUUAAUCACAAGUGCAAGAUGUUGGCUCUCGUGUGCGCUGGUGCUCAAUGGACCGUGGAAUGCUCCUAUAAUCGGAGCAGGACCCAGUGGCACAAACCACAGCACUUUUCCUCCCACAGCCAACAGCCGACAGGGGAAUAUACUUUCCGUACCGCAGUCCUGGACAGCUGCGGUUGAAUGAAUGAAGCCCUGGCAACAACAACAACCAUCACCACCAACAACAACAAAACAAGUUGCAGAUUUUCACGUGCCAACCCCAUACGGACCGUGUGGGUUCGGUCUCACUGAUCAGUAGGUGGCGCUAGAAAGUCACUUG